UGCCGGCCUUGUCGAGGACCUUCUGCGUCGCCGGGGUCGGUCCGGUGAGCAUGAUCGUCGGUUCGGAGCCGACGACGGCGG
This 81-nucleotide transfer RNA is filed under the name Brevibacterium casei. RNAcentral's name for it is "tRNA-Arg(tcg)". Lineage: Bacteria; Bacillati; Actinomycetota; Actinomycetes; Micrococcales; Brevibacteriaceae. The record is from RNAcentral.